GCUGGGUGCAGUGGCGCACAUCUGUGAUCCCAGCAGCCCAGGAGGCUGAGGCAGGAGGACUGUGAGUUCAAAGCCAGCCUCAGCAAUUUAGCAAGACCCUGCCUCUA
This 107-nucleotide small RNA is filed under the name Marmota monax (woodchuck). The record is from RNAcentral. Lineage: Eukaryota; Metazoa; Chordata; Mammalia; Rodentia; Sciuridae.